GAUGAACGCUGGCGGCGUGCCUAAUACAUGCAAGUCGAGCGAACGGACGAGAAGCUUGCUUCUCUGAUGUUAGCGGCGGACGGGUGAGUAACACGUGGAUAACCUACCUAUAAGACUGGGAUAACUUCGGGAAACCGGAGCUAAUACCGGAUGAUAUUUUGAACCGCAUGGUUCAAAAGUGAAAGACGGUCUUGCUGUCACUUAUAGAUGGAUCCGCGCUGCAUUAGCUAGUUGGUAAGGUAACGGCUUACCAAGGCAACGAUGCAUAGCCGACCUGAGAGGGGGAACGGCCCCACUGGAACUGAGGAACGGUUCAGACUCCUAAGGGAGGCAACAAGAGGGAAACUUCCGCAAAGGGGGAAAGGCUGAACGGGCAAAGGCGGGGGGGUGAUGAAAGUCCUCGGAUCGGAAAAAUCUUUUAAUUGGGAAGAACAUAUGGGGAAGGUACUGGGCCCAACUUUAAGGGUCCUAAAUCGAAAGGCACCGCUUACUUCGGU
This 497-nucleotide ribosomal RNA is filed under the name uncultured bacterium. RNAcentral's name for it is "partial 16S ribosomal RNA". It matches the Rfam family "Bacterial small subunit ribosomal RNA", at positions 28 to 507 of the family's 1533-position model. The record is from RNAcentral.